Molecule: ribosomal RNA, 319 nt
Filed under: uncultured Pseudomonadota bacterium
Lineage: Bacteria; Pseudomonadati; Pseudomonadota
Description: bacterial SSU rRNA
Rfam family: Bacterial small subunit ribosomal RNA
Source: RNAcentral
AUUGAACGCUGGCGGCAUGCCUUACACAUGCAAGUCGAACGGUAACGCGGGGCAACCUGGCGACGAGUGGCGAACGGGUGAGUAAUGCAUCGGAACGUGCCCAGUAGUGGGGGAUAGCCCGGCGAAAGCCGGAUUAAUACCGCAUACGACCUAAGGGUGAAAGCGGGGGAUCGCAAGACCUCGCGCUAUUGGAGCGGCCGAUGUCAGAUUAGGUAGUUGGUGGGGUAAAGGCCUACCAAGCCUACGAUCUGUAGCUGGUCUGAGAGGACGACCAGCCACACUGGGACUGAGACACGGCCCAGACACCUACGGGUGGCAG